CAGAGUUGCAAAACUCCCAACCCUUUGUGAACGUACUGAAAAGUUGCCUUCGGCGGGAGGCUCCUCAGGGAGCGGACCGCCGGAGGAAUCCAAACUCUUGUUUUUUUGGCAUCUCUGAGUAGCUUAUAAAUAAGUU
RNAcentral lists this unclassified non-coding RNA (136 nucleotides) under soil metagenome. RNAcentral describes it as "partial internal transcribed spacer 1". The record is from RNAcentral.